GCUUACGGCCAUACCACCCUGAACAAGCCCGAUCUCGUCUGAUCUCGGAGGCUAAGCAGGGUCGGGCCUGGUUAGUACUUGGAUGGGACACCGCCUGGGAAUACCAGGUGCUGUAAGCU
This 119-nucleotide ribosomal RNA is filed under the name Betta splendens (Siamese fighting fish). The record is from RNAcentral. Lineage: Eukaryota; Metazoa; Chordata; Actinopteri; Anabantiformes; Osphronemidae.